CAUGCAAGUCGAGCGGGGUUAGUUAGAAGCUUGCUUCUAAUUAACCUAGCGGCGGACGGGUGAGUAACACGUAGGCAACCUGCCCACAAGACAGGGAUAACUACCGGAAACGGUAGCUAAUACCCGAUACAUCCUUUUCCUGCAUGGGAGAAGGAGGAAAGGCGGAGCAAUCUGUCACUUGUGGAUGGGCCUGCGGCGCAUUAGCUAGUUGGUGGGGUAAAGGCCUACCAAGGCGACGAUGCGUAGCCGACCUGAGAGGGUGAUCGGCCACACUGGGACUGAGACACGGCCCAGACUCCUACGGGAGGCAGCAGUAGGGAAUCUUCCGCAAUGGGCGAAAGCCUGACGGAGCAACGCCGCGUGAGUGAUGAAGGUUUUCGGAUCGUAAAGCUCUGUUGCCAGGGAAGAACGCCUGGUAGAGUAACUGCUCUUAGAGUGACGGUACCUGAGAAGAAAGCCCCGGCUAACUACGUGCCAGCAGCCGCGGUAAUACGUAGGGGGCAAGCGUUGUCCGGAAUUAUUGGGCGUAAAGCGCGCGCAGGCGGCUCUUUAGUCUGGUGUUUAUCCCGAGGCUCAACUUCGGGUCGCACUGGAAACUGGGGAGCUUGAGUGGAGAAGAGGAGAGUGGAAUUCCACGUGUAGCGGUGAAAUGGGUAGAGAUGUGGAGGAACACCAGGGGCG
Molecule: ribosomal RNA, 681 nt
Filed under: Paenibacillus polymyxa
Lineage: Bacteria; Bacillati; Bacillota; Bacilli; Caryophanales; Paenibacillaceae
Description: bacterial SSU rRNA
Rfam family: Bacterial small subunit ribosomal RNA
Source: RNAcentral